This 463-nucleotide ribosomal RNA is filed under the name uncultured bacterium. RNAcentral describes it as "partial 16S ribosomal RNA". It matches the Rfam family "Bacterial small subunit ribosomal RNA", at positions 28 to 507 of the family's 1533-position model. The record is from RNAcentral.
GAUGAACGCUGACAGAAUGCUUAACACAUGCAAGUCUUUGGCGAAGCUGUGCUUGCACAGCCUAGCCAAGGCGGACGGGUGAGUAACGCGUAAGGAACUUGCCCUGCAGUCAGGGAUAACAGACGGAAACGACUGAUAAGACCUGGUAAAGUCAGGCGGACUCAUGUCCAGCCUGAUGAAAAGAGAUGCUGCAGGAGAGCCUUGCGUCCUAUUAGCUUGUUGGUGGGGUAACGGCCCACCAAGGCGAUGAUAGGUAGCCGGCCUGAGAGGGUGGACGGCCACAAGGGGACUGAGAUACGGCCCUUACUCCUACGGGAGGCAGCAGUGGGGAAUAUUGGACAAUGGGGGCAACCCUGAUCCAGCAACUCUGUGUGCACGAUGAAGGUUUUCGGAUUGUAAAGUGCUUUCAGCAGGGAAGAAAAAAAUGACGGUACCUGCAGAAGAAGCGACGGCUAAAUACGUG